Molecule: non-coding RNA, 21 nt
Organism: Caenorhabditis elegans
Lineage: Eukaryota; Metazoa; Nematoda; Chromadorea; Rhabditida; Rhabditidae
Source: Ensembl
CUGAAGAAACGUUAUUGAAAC